CCAAUAGCGUAUAUUAAAGUUGUUGCAGUUAAAAAGCUCGUAGUUGAAUUUCGGGGUCAGUAGGUUGGUCAUGCCUCUGGUAUGUAGUGGUGUCACUGAUUCCUCCUUCCUGAUGAGCCGUAAUGCCAUUAAUUUGGUGUUGCGAGGGAUCUGGAAUGUUACUUUGAAAGAAUAAGAGUGAUUAAAUAAAGCUAACGCUUGAAUACAAUAGCAUGGCAUAAUGAAAUAGGACGUUCGAUCUUAUUUUGUUGGUUUCUAAGAUUGACGUAAUGAUUAAUAGGGAUAGUUGGGGGCAUUAGUAUUCAAUUGUCAGAGGUGAAAUUCUUGGAUUUAUUGAAGACUAACUACUGCGAAAGCAUUUGCCAAGGAUGUUUUCAUUAAUCAAGAACGAAAGUUAGGGGAUCGAAGACGAUCAGAUACCGUCGUAGUCUUAACCAUAAACUAUGCCGACUAGGGAUCGGAUGAUGUUAAUUUUUUAAUGACUCAUUCGGCGCCUUACG
Molecule: ribosomal RNA, 500 nt
Filed under: uncultured Glomeromycotina
Lineage: Eukaryota; Fungi; Glomeromycota
Description: partial small subunit ribosomal RNA
Rfam family: Eukaryotic small subunit ribosomal RNA
Source: RNAcentral